UACGGGGGGGGCAAGCGUUGUUCGGAAUUACUGGGCGUAAAGGGCUCGUAGGUGGCCAACUAAGUCAGACGUGAAAUCCCUCGGCUUAACCGGGGAACUGCGUCUGAUACUGGAUGGCUUGAGUUUGGGAGAGGGAUGCGGAAUUCCAGGUGUAGCGGUGAAAUGCGUAGAUAUCUGGAGGAACACCGGUGGCGAAGGCGGCGUUCUGGACUGCAACUGACACUGAGGAACGAAAGCCAGGGUAGCAAACGGG
RNAcentral lists this ribosomal RNA (253 nucleotides) under uncultured bacterium. RNAcentral describes it as "partial 16S ribosomal RNA". It matches the Rfam family "Bacterial small subunit ribosomal RNA", at positions 524 to 776 of the family's 1533-position model. The record is from RNAcentral.